Molecule: long non-coding RNA, 574 nt
Organism: Psammomys obesus (fat sand rat)
Lineage: Eukaryota; Metazoa; Chordata; Mammalia; Rodentia; Muridae
Exons: 3
Source: RefSeq, a predicted model, not a curated record
GUAUGCCAAGAUUCCUGAUUCCUUUCCUUUCUUCUUUUGUUCCACUCAGGUUGGUUGGUUGGUGAGGUAUUCUUGUGUGGACCUAAAUGGCUGAAAUAUGCACAAAGAGACAAACCUAGACUUAAAUUUGUGAUGACUCUCAUGGAUACCGAAAUCACAGGAUCAGGACAUAGCUCUCAGCUACUGCUCCAGCACCUGCCAGAAUGCCACCAGGCUCCCUGCCAUGAUGAUAAAGGACUAUACCUCUGAAACUGUGAGCUCCUGGCUUCCUGUUCCCACUGCCUGCCACUUGCUGCCAUGCUCCUUGGCAUUGAUGGACUCUUUUCUCUCUUGAACCAUACGCCAAAAUAAACUCUCUCUUCCUUAAGUUGCCUCUGAUUACCGUGUUUUAUCAUAGUGGAAGAAAAGUAACAAACACAGAGAGAAAACAAAACACAGAAGGCCCAAAAGAUACUUGCCACCAAUCCUGAUGACCUGAGUUCAAUCCCAAGACCCACAUGGUAGAAGAGAGUUAACUCCUGAAAGUUGUCCUCUGACCUCUGUAUGUUCACUAUGACACAUGCAUACCCCUACA